AGACAACUUUUAACGGUGGAUCUCUUGGCUCGUGCAUCGAUGAAGAACGCAGCCAGGUGCGAUAAGUAGUGUGAAUUGCAGAAUUCAGUGAAUCAUCGAAUCUUUGAACGCAAAUGGCGCUCUUGGGUUCUCCCAGGAGCAUGUCUGUCUGAGUGUCGGCAUCCAACUCAUCGCGCGCCACCGUCGCCUGGUGGGUCUGUGCGGCGUUGAGGGCAUCUCGG
RNAcentral lists this ribosomal RNA (221 nucleotides) under Antipathozoanthus obscurus. RNAcentral describes it as "5.8S ribosomal RNA". The stretch from base 5 to 158 matches the Rfam family "5.8S ribosomal RNA". Rfam says of the family: 5.8S ribosomal RNA (5.8S rRNA) is a component of the large subunit of the eukaryotic ribosome. The record is from RNAcentral. Lineage: Eukaryota; Metazoa; Cnidaria; Anthozoa; Zoantharia; Parazoanthidae.